CACUUGUUAGUAGGAUAUUUCUUACAAAAAAUGUCUGAACAUAUGAACUCCAUAGUGAUUUCAGGGCAAUGCUGAGAUAAGCU
RNAcentral lists this small nucleolar RNA (83 nucleotides) under Calidris pygmaea (Spoon-billed sandpiper). RNAcentral's name for it is "Small nucleolar RNA SNORD72 (ENSCPGG00000019158.1)". It matches the Rfam family "Small nucleolar RNA SNORD72". Rfam says of the family: snoRNA HBII-240 belongs to the CD family of snoRNAs. Lineage: Eukaryota; Metazoa; Chordata; Aves; Charadriiformes; Scolopacidae. The record is from Rfam by way of RNAcentral.